RNAcentral lists this ribosomal RNA (492 nucleotides) under uncultured bacterium. RNAcentral's name for it is "bacterial SSU rRNA". It matches the Rfam family "Bacterial small subunit ribosomal RNA", at positions 30 to 517 of the family's 1533-position model. The record is from RNAcentral.
AUUGAACGCUGGCGGCAUGCCUUACACAUGCAAGUCGAACGGUAACAGGCCGCAAGGUGCUGACGAGUGGCGAACGGGUGAGUAAUACAUCGGAACGUGCCCGAGAGUGGGGGAUAACGGAGCGAAAGCUUUGCUAAUACCGCAUACGAUCUACGGAUGAAAGCAGGGGACCGCAAGGCCUUGCGCUCAUGGAGCGGCCGAUGGCAGAUUAGGUAGUUGGUGGGAUAAAAGCUUACCAAGCCGACGAUCUGUAGCUGGUCUGAGAGGACGACCAGCCACACUGGGACUGAGACACGGCCCAGACUCCUACGGGAGGCAGCAGUGGGGAAUUUUGGACAAUGGGCGAAAGCCUGAUCCAGCCAUGCCGCGUGCAGGAUGAAGGCCUUCGGUUGUAAACUGCUUUUGUACGGUAACGAAAAGACUCUGGUUAAUACCUGGGGUCCAUGACGGUACCGUAAGAAUAAGCACCGGCUAACUACGUGCCAGCAGCCG